CUCCAUGUCAUUCCCAUAAGCAAAUCAGUCAAACAGGUCCCAAUAAGCCACAUGAGGGUGAGCACGAAGCUGAAUUACUGCUCCGAGGGAACUGCCAGCUGUGCACUGGGAAGGCCACAGCUGGCCUCUGUCCUGCCCUCAGUGACGCUUUUCCAGAACAGAGCAAUGCGAGUGGGAUGCAGAAUUGUCAACUAUGGAAAAGAAAGAAGCACCACAGUCCUCCCUAACCUAAAGGAGAAAGCAGUAGAGAGCACCUUUGGUCACCCCUCUGUUUUUUUGGAUUGGAGUACUGAGCAGAAAAAAAGGAGAAAAGGAGAUGCACGUCAUCUACAGCUACCUACCUGCAGGCAGUGACCUCCAACGUGAUGGUAAAAGUGGCACUUGGAAGAGAAUUUGUUCCCUACAGCUGCAGCACAAGAGCAUGCCUAUGCAGCCACCACUGCAGAUAUCUUUUUCUUUUCUUCCUAACAGGUGCCAGCCAACAUUUUUCUUCUCUCUUUCUUUAAUUCUUUGACCGUUCCACAGUAGGGUCUCACUAACGUUCCACAGUCCAUCUGUGCCCACUUCCACAUUUUGCAGAUCUAACUGCUCAAUGCUUGCACCAUGUACUAAGAUCUCAGGUGAUUUUGUGUCCCUAGUGCUUCUCAGAAGCAAUUUCAAAGACC
This is a long non-coding RNA of Lagopus leucura (white-tailed ptarmigan), 665 nucleotides long. RefSeq lists it as uncharacterized. The transcript has 3 exons. The record is from RefSeq and is a predicted model, not a curated record. Lineage: Eukaryota; Metazoa; Chordata; Aves; Galliformes; Phasianidae.